Molecule: long non-coding RNA, 636 nt
Filed under: Homo sapiens (human)
Lineage: Eukaryota; Metazoa; Chordata; Mammalia; Primates; Hominidae
Description: HSALNT0082976
Source: RNAcentral
CAAGGUCCCCAAGGGGACCUGCUUCCUCCAUCUCAAACCGCCCUGGCGUCCCCCGGGUGCCUCCCAGGCCCCCAGAGGGAGCUCAGAAAGCCCAGACCCCACGGCCCGCCCCUCUCCCUGCUCUGAGCUGGAGGCAGAGUCCGGGUCUGCGGGGCCGGCCCUCCCUGUAUCCCUGUGAGAGGGUCGGGGACCCGGGGCGUCUGUCUGGCUUCCCCCAGCCCUGCUCUCAGCUCCCUGGGAGCGCAGGAUUUGGACUCGCGGACUAGCUUUCGGAGCCACCUAAAGGAAAUCUCAGGCGGCCCUAGUGCCCUCAGCUCCGUGGGAGCAGCAGAGACGCCAGAGUAUCUCUGUCCGGGCUCCUGAGGGAGGUGCGGCCAGCAGGGCGCUAGAGGAGGAAGAGGGGCUGCUGGAGAGAGAGAGCGCGCCAGGUUCAGGUCCAGGGAGGAGAGAGAGCGAGCGCGCGAGGCGGAGACCUGGAGGGAGAGGAAGGGAGAGAGAGAACCAGGUUCAGGUCCAGGGAGGAGAGAGACAGCGCGCGCGAGGCGGAGACCUGGAGGAGAGGAGCUGCGGAGAGGGGUUAGGCGGGGAGAGAGAGAGAGCGAGCCAGGUUCAGGUCCAGGGAGGAGAGAGACAGCG